CCUACGGGAGGCUGCAGUGAGGAAUAUUGGUCAAUGGGCGCGAGCCUGAACCAGCCAAGUAGCGUGAAGGAUGACUGCCCUCCGGGUUGUAAACUUCUUUUAUAAAGGAAUAAAGUGAGGCACGUGUGCCUUUUUGUAUGUCCUUUAUGAAUCAGGCACGGCUAACUCCGUGCCAGCAGCCGCGGUAAUAUGGAGGAUCCGAGCGUUAUCCGGAUUUAUUGGGUUUAAAGGGAGCGUAGAUGGGUUGUUAAGUCAGUUGUGAAAGUUUGCGGCUCAACCGUAAAAUUGCAAUUGAUACUGGCAGUCUUGAGUACAGUUGAGGUAGGCGGAAUUCGUGGUGUAGCGGUGAAAUGCUUAGAUAUCACGAAGAACUCCGAUUGCGAAGGCAGCUUACUAAACUGCCACUGACAUUGAGGCUCGAAAGUGUGGGUAGCAAACAGGAUUAGAUACCCCGGUAGUC
This 460-nucleotide ribosomal RNA is filed under the name uncultured bacterium. Its description in RNAcentral is "partial 16S ribosomal RNA". It matches the Rfam family "Bacterial small subunit ribosomal RNA", at positions 338 to 795 of the family's 1533-position model. The record is from RNAcentral.